ACACCAGCGGUGAAGUACAAUGGCUACUAGUGGAGGCGAUGAGGGUCACAACAACCCUGCUCUUCACCCGGAUUUGGAUAUUCCGGAUACUCCGGAUCUCCAGUUCGCUGAGUUCGGAUCGGGUUGUUUCUGGGGAGCGGAGUUGGCCUUUCAGCGAAUUGAGGGAGUGGUGAAGACCCAGGUUGGAUAUACUCAGGGUCACACCCCGGAUCCAAAUUACAAACUGGUUUGCACCGGAACCACUAACCACGUUGAAGUGGUUCGGGUUCAGUUCGACCCGAAGGUUUGUCCCUACGAGAAUCUACUUGUUCUCUUUUGGUCUCGAC
This 326-nucleotide long non-coding RNA is filed under the name Phaseolus vulgaris (common bean). Its description in RNAcentral is "long non-coding RNA (PVUL_LNC001229)". The record is from RNAcentral. Lineage: Eukaryota; Viridiplantae; Streptophyta; Magnoliopsida; Fabales; Fabaceae.